AUUGAACGCUGGCGGCAUGCUUUACACAUGCAAGUCGAACGGCAGCGCGGGCUUCGGCUUGGCGGCGAGUGGCGAACGGGUGAGUAAUACAUCGGAACGUGCCCAGUAGUGGGGGAUAGCUCGGCGAAAGCCGGAUUAAUACCGCAUACGACCUGAGGGUGAAAGCGGGGGAUCUUCGGACCUCGCGCUAUUGGAGCGGCCGAUGGCAGAUUAGCUAGUUGGUGGGGUAAAGGCCUACCAAGGCGACGAUCUGUAGCUGGUCUGAGAGGACGACCAGCCACACUGGGACUGAGACACGGCCCAGACUCCUACGGGAGGCGGCAGUGGGGAAUUUUGGACAAUGGGCGAAAGCCUGAUCCAGCAAUGCCGCGUGUGUGAUGAAGGCCUUCGGGUUGUAAAGCACUUUUGGCGGGAACGAAAAGGACUGUGCCAAUACCACGGUUCGAUGACGGUACCCGCAGAAUAAGCACCGGCUAACUACGUG
Molecule: ribosomal RNA, 484 nt
Filed under: uncultured bacterium
Lineage: Bacteria
Description: partial 16S ribosomal RNA
Rfam family: Bacterial small subunit ribosomal RNA
Source: RNAcentral